This 442-nucleotide ribosomal RNA is filed under the name Verrucomicrobia bacterium SCGC AAA027-L09. RNAcentral's name for it is "bacterial SSU rRNA". It matches the Rfam family "Bacterial small subunit ribosomal RNA", at positions 348 to 780 of the family's 1533-position model. Lineage: Bacteria; Pseudomonadati; Verrucomicrobiota. The record is from RNAcentral.
GCACCAGUCGAGAGAUCAUUCACAAUGGGGGCAACCCUGAUGGUGCAACGCCGCGUGGAGGAAGAAGGUCUUCGGAUUGUAAACUCCUGUCAUCUAGGAGCAAGGCAUGGUGGUGAAUAGCCAACAUGAUUGAUAGUACUAGAAGAGGAAGGGACGGCUAACUUCGUGCCAGCAGCCGCGGUAAUACGAAGGUCCCGAGCGUUAUUCGGAAUCACUGGGCGUAAAGGGAGCGUAGGCGGCGUGGAAAGUCAGAUGUGAAAUCCCAGAGCUUAACUCUGGAACUGCAUCCGAUAACUACCAUGCUAGAGUAUUGGAGGGGUAACUGGAAUUCUCGGUGUAGCAGUGAAAUGCGUAGAUAUCGAGAGGAACACUCGUGGCGAAAGCGAGUUACUGGACAAUUACUGACGCUGAGGCUCGAAGGCUAGGGGAGCAAAAGGGAUUA